AACGAACGCUGGCGGCAUGCCUAACACAUGCAAGUCGAACGAGACCUUCGGGUCUAGUGGCGCACGGGUGCUUAACGCGUGGUAACCUGCCCUUAGGUUCGGAAUAACUCCCCUAAAGGGGUGCUAAUACCGGUUAAUGUCUUCGGACCUAAGAUUUAUCGCCUUUGGAUGGGCCCGCGUUGGAUUAGCUGGUUGGUAGGGUAAAAGCCUACCAAGGCGACGAUCCAUAGCUGGUCUGUGAGGAUGAUCAGCCACACUGGGACUGAGACACGGCCCAGACUCCUAGGGGAGGGAGCAGUGGGGAAUAUUGGACAAUGGGCGAAAGCCUGAUACAGCAAUGCCGGGUGAGUGAUGAAGGCCUUAGGGUUGUAAAGCUCUUUUACACGGGAUGAUAAUGACAGUACCGGGAGAAUAAGCACCGGCUAACUACGUG
This 433-nucleotide ribosomal RNA is filed under the name uncultured bacterium. RNAcentral describes it as "partial 16S ribosomal RNA". It matches the Rfam family "Bacterial small subunit ribosomal RNA", at positions 29 to 507 of the family's 1533-position model. The record is from RNAcentral.